UUGCAGUAGGAAAAGUUCCACACAUACUAAUUCAAAUUUGACAUGCACAUAUUUUUUAAUGCUCCGUUUAGAUCAAAAAAUGAUGUUUGUCCCAUAGUUAUUGUACUCACCCAUUACGUAAAUUCUUAUCUUCUAAUGAUGACAAGUUCAAACAAGAUACUCUCUCAUGUCGUUUUCCG
Caenorhabditis elegans is the source of this 179-nucleotide non-coding RNA. Lineage: Eukaryota; Metazoa; Nematoda; Chromadorea; Rhabditida; Rhabditidae. The record is from Ensembl.